This 320-nucleotide ribosomal RNA is filed under the name uncultured Prevotella sp. RNAcentral describes it as "partial 16S ribosomal RNA". The record is from RNAcentral. Lineage: Bacteria; Pseudomonadati; Bacteroidota; Bacteroidia; Bacteroidales; Prevotellaceae.
GGAGUUUGGUCCGUGUCUCAGUACCAAUGUGGGGGACCUUCCUCUCAGAACCCCUACUGAUCGUCGGCUAGGUGGGCCGUUACCCCGCCUACUACCUAAUCAGACGCAUCCCCAUCCCAUAGCGAUAAAUCUUUGGUAUUGCUCAGAUGUCCUCAUAAUACAACAUAGGGCAUUAAUCCGACUUUCGCCGGGCUAUUCCCUACUAUGGGGAAGGUUGGAUACGCGUUACUCACCCGUGCGCCGGUCGCCAUCUAUCAAAGCAAGCUUCGAUAAUGCUGCCCCUCGACUUGCAUGUGUUAAGCCUGUAGCUAGCGUUCAUC